This 570-nucleotide unclassified non-coding RNA is filed under the name Hevea brasiliensis (rubber tree). Lineage: Eukaryota; Viridiplantae; Streptophyta; Magnoliopsida; Malpighiales; Euphorbiaceae. The record is from RNAcentral.
AAUAUAAGAAUCUUCACCCUGGGACAGUUGGGGAACCGAUCAUCAUGAUGCAAAGGCCUCAAUCUGUGAAUACAAAGCAGGUUCCAGGUACAAGCAUAAGCUCUUCUCCUCCUGGAACAGCUGCCAGUUGGUAUCCUACUAAUAGUGUGAAGUCCAAUGGCUUGAUGCCUUACAUUCCCACCACGAGAAGCCCCAGUCCGAACAAUCUUAAUUCAAAUAAAAUGUUGCAUCAACUUCAUUUUCAACAACAGCAAUACUUUGUGCCAGGCAGUAGCGCAGGGGAUUCUCCUGGAAUCAGCAGAGGAAAUGGCUUAUGUAAUAGAACCGGUUCAUCAUCUACACUUGCUGCCGCUUCAUCUCUUGGACUCUUCUGGGUUGGGUGGCUCAGCUGGUGUAGAUGAUGAACCGGUUCUAUUACAUCUCAGUGGCUCAGUUAGAUUACGCCAGCGUAGACUGGAGUUUGGAUCGAGGAUUGUCCUCUACAAGGCUUAGUGGAAUGUGGAUGGGCCCAGGUUAUUUAAAAAAUGGCACCCAAAUACAUUCAAGUAGUGCUAGCUUGGGUGCUAAGUU